Molecule: long non-coding RNA, 634 nt
Organism: Sciurus carolinensis (gray squirrel)
Lineage: Eukaryota; Metazoa; Chordata; Mammalia; Rodentia; Sciuridae
Exons: 3
Source: RefSeq, a predicted model, not a curated record
CCCCAGCCUCGCCAAUCGCUCCUACGGGCUCCCGCUGCAGCCGUGGGCCCUGAGGACUCAGUCUUCUGGGCAGUUGGCGCUGUUUCCGUGUUCUUGCAGGGAACCUGUAAGAACUUUAAUGCGUGGUUUCCGUGGAAUUCCUUACAUUGGUGCCAUGACUCGUGAUGGGUCCUUCCACUGUCUCUUAAGCAAGUGGAAAGCCAUCUGACGCCCAAUGACCCCUGGACACAGCCCUACCAGCCAUUCGCCUGGACGCUCAGCUUUUUGCAUGCAACACCAGACUUCAGAUUGUACGCAUGGCUUUUUGUUCUUCUCUCAUAGAAGCACUCACCCCCAGAUGCCUUUACAACCUGCUCUUCCCCAACCAGACUUCAACCAUGGACCCUCCUCAAUUAACCUGAUUUCUAAAAAGGGAACGCCAAACUGCUUGCCCCAUGCUGCCCCCUUUCCACCUCAAAGAAGCCAGAGCGGUCAUCGACCCUCCUUCCCAACAGCAGUAAAGGAGAUUCUAAAAUUAGAGGGGUGAAUGAAGCCAGAAUUGGGGACAAGCAGUUAGUGUAUAAAUAGGGGAUCAGUCAAAUCGAGGAAAUGAAGUUCAUGAAAACAUCUGCCUCUGGAAGUAUGGAAGUUGAAG